UAGUCACUAGUAAAGAUUCAGGUAUUCAUUUCAAAUCAGCAUUCUGGUUUGAAUAACUUUGAACGUAAAGGUCUUUACGUCAGUUUUUCAUGCAAAAGUACGUGUGGGUCUCAAAGAGUUAAUUUGUCUCUGUCUGUUGAUCGCUGCGGUGGGCUGCGACAUCAUUCGAGAGUGCAUUUUCAGCGUCCAAUCAGCUACGCGGAAUCCACUUCGCAUUUAGCCAAUAGGGAGAAUGGGAGGCUCUAUCGAAUUUGAAUGAGGAGUGUAUCUUUCGGCGCCAUUUUCGAGUGAGCAGCGAUUGCCUCAACAGCUGCGGGGAGAGGAUGCUGCGAAUGUAGAAAGCUGUCGCUGAGACUGAGGAGAAACCAAGCGGUUAAAAUCAAACUGCGAUUAUAGAGAGGGAAUCGCCUUAUUUCAGCAGAAACACAGAGGUACUGUUGGACGUUGGCAUGUUUAGAAGGAUAUCAGCAGUUGCAGUGCUGAUGAAGAGCGUCCUGGCCUGUCUUCAAAGUGGAUGGAAGAGUUAAAUAUGUCCCUGGUAAUCGUCUGAAAGUCUUUAGGUCGAUGGGUAAUACACUAUAUUGCCAAAAGUAUUCACUGCGCCAUCCAGUAAUUUAAAUCAGG
Long non-coding RNA from Melanotaenia boesemani (Boeseman's rainbowfish), 624 nucleotides. RefSeq lists it as uncharacterized. The transcript has 3 exons. Lineage: Eukaryota; Metazoa; Chordata; Actinopteri; Atheriniformes; Melanotaeniidae. The record is from RefSeq and is a predicted model, not a curated record.